GAAAAUCUCAACUUUAUUAGAAGAGACGCAUUUAUUAGAUAAAAAGCCAAUGCAUGCUUUUACAGUAUGAAAAUUGGUGAUUUAUAAUAACUUAGCAAAUCGCAUAGUGAAAACAGGCGAUAAAUCAUUCAAGUUUCUGACCUAUCAGCUUUCGACGGUAUGGUAUUGGCUUACCGUGGCAGUGACGGUUAACGGGGGAUUAGGGUUCGAUUCCGGAGAGGGAGCCUGAGAAACGGCUACCACAUCUAAGGAAGGCAGCAGGCGCGCAAAUUACCCAAUUCUAACAGUUUGAGAGAGGUAGUAACAAGAAAUAACAAUACAAGGCAGUUAAAAUGCUUUGUAAUUGGAAUGAUAGAAAUUUAAACCCUUUUUAAAGUAUCAAUUGGAGGGCAAGUCUGGUGCCAGCAGCCGCGGUAAUUCCAGCUCCAAUAGCGUAUAUUAAAAUUGUUGCAGUUAAAAAGCUCGUAGUUGAAGUUCUGCUAAAAGUAACCGGUCUGCUUUGAAUAAAAGUGGUAUCUUGGUAUGUAUUUAGCAAUGAUGUCCUUUGAAGUGUUUUUUACUUUAUUGUAAUAAAGCAUAUUCAGGACUUUUACUUUGAGAAAAUUAGAGU
RNAcentral lists this ribosomal RNA (610 nucleotides) under Hepatozoon canis. RNAcentral describes it as "SSU rRNA". It matches the Rfam family "Eukaryotic small subunit ribosomal RNA", at positions 174 to 772 of the family's 1831-position model. Lineage: Eukaryota; Apicomplexa; Hepatozoidae. The record is from RNAcentral.